This 439-nucleotide long non-coding RNA is filed under the name Androctonus crassicauda. Lineage: Eukaryota; Metazoa; Arthropoda; Arachnida; Scorpiones; Buthidae. The record is from RNAcentral.
CAUGUGUAUUAUUGCAAGUGUACUAAUUUGCAUAAUCAGCUCAUUUGAACGUCACUAUCAGAUAGCCCAUGACUUCCUAUUUGUUGGCAUUAACAGAUUUUUGAAAUCUAUGAUAGUUGUAAAGUUAUUUGAAAGCUUACAGACUUUUCUUCCACCCUGUGUAAUGUAUAUACAGUUGAACUUUUUGAUGGUGGAUACUGACUGGACUAAGGGCUUUGUCCAUUAUUGGGGGAUGAACUUGUCUUACAUAUUUAAAAAUAUACUGCAUUUUGCUUAGUUAUGAUUUUUCUUUGUAUUUCCUUAACAAUAAUUCAUUGUUGUUUGGGGACAAUUUUCAAUCAGGAUGAUAAAAAAAAGUAUCGAUUUCCAAGAAUUGAUAACAUAAAAUAAUUAAACAGUGAAAUACAGUAUUACAUAAGAAUGAUAUAUUAUUAGAUAG